AUGAUCCCGUUUGGUGGACAGUCAGAGGAAAGCACAUCUUCAGAAAAGUUAGACUUUGCAGGAGCCAGAGUCCUUUUGCUCAAUGCCUCUUACCCAACCCCCACCCCUCCCAGUUUAGGAACUGAGUCCUCAGACACGCCCUCCUCAUCCUGGGACCUCUUGGGACCCCGCUUGUGCGCAGGUUCCAGAGUGUUGGUCUCAGACCAGGGUUCUGGGACUUGCACAAUCCAGCAGGCCUCAAAGGAGGCCAGGAAGUCGCCUCCAAAACUGACCCUGAAGGGACCCGAGAGUCUCACCUGCGCCGCAGCCGCAGAAGGCCCAGCAGGCCCUGCUCCUGGCUUCCGCCGCGGCCUCCACUCCCCGCCACGCAGCCCGGGUCCCCGCCAGAGCCGGGAGCCGCUCCUGGGGUCCGGGUCUGGGAAUCCCAGAGCACCGUGUGCUCCGAGGCCUCUUCCCCCAGACCCUCAAGCACUCAAUGCCCAAGGCCCGGCAGGGCCUGGGCCUCGCCCUCGGGGGCCACCGACCCGGUCGCCUCCCCUGCUCGGCUGCCGGCCCUCCCCUACCUGCCUCGAGCUCCGGGCUCCUCCUCUGUUGGCGCAGCACGCGUCGCCCAGCUCGGCUCGCGCCUCGGCUCUCUUGGCCUCGUCCCUCUGCCCCCGGCCCCUUCUCUGACCACGUCACCCUCCUUCAGCCACCAUGUCCGAACUUCCGGACCCCUCUAGGAACACAGCAGUCCAACACCCCGGAGGGGCCUCGGGGCCGGGGGCCUGGCCGAGGGCGGGCUGGUUGCAACCGGCGUCCCCUCGGUGCGCUCCGGACGCUGCGCUCGCCCCGGGCCGGGUAGUCCGGCGCUGCCAGCUCUCAAUGAGCCGCUCGCCCGCUCUAUUGUUGCUCCUCAGGGCUCCAUUAGACAGAAUUGGACAACAAUGUGGCGCCUGCCAUUGGCCAGGGGAGACAGUCGGCGCUCUGAUUGGCCGGGCCCGCGCCCGGGGAGCCCCUCAUUCUACAGUGUCCGAAAGAUUCGAAACUCCGCACGCUCUGCUGAGUGCCUGCGGGAUGGGAGGGGGCGCCAGGGAAGGAGUGCGCGAGGAGGAGCGUUGCAAAUGUCGUGACAAGAAGUUUCCGUGCGCCCGAGAGCGUGUGAAUUGCUCCUAAUUACCGUGUCCGGUGCGCCUCUCCGCGUAGACGUGUGUAACCCCUCUACUCCUGGGGCUCCGGCUCCACUGAGCCACUCUCCCUUGGCCCGGGGCGCUUGGCAAGGCCUAGCUUCCCAAGUGGCCCCGGAGGCCUGGGGCGGGACAGGAGCAGGUGACAAUUCAAUUACCGCUGUCGAAGUGGGAGUGGAACCCGGGUGCCGGGGUGGGGGAGGGAGGGCGUUCACCGCAGACUUGCCAAGAUGGUUUUUGCUGGCUUCCUUCUGACCGUGACCGUGUGCUUCCACGUCCGACGGGCUCCGAGGUAGUUGAGAGCCGGUUUGCUCCCUUCCCCCGCCCUCUAUCACCUUUAAUGCUUAGUUUCUUCGUUUGCAAAGUCCUGACACCGUGGGCGUCACGGAGUGCCAAAGUAAAAAGCCGCCUUUGCGACUCCCCAGAUCCUCUGGAGGCUGGAGGAACCGGCCAGACGGUCAGACCCAUCAGCCCACAAGACUUCCGCAGGGGGCGAGGGCACUGGACCUGCUUUGACUUGGCCUUCCUCGACCCGUGCUGACGUCACGGCCCGAGAACCCCCUUGGGUCUGCGGAGGAGGUAACAAGUUCGAAUUUUGUAUCUCUUCCUAGUUAUUCCCAUCUGUUACUGAUGUUUAAAUCCUUGGACUGUGUCACCCUCCAGCUCGGACUUUUCCUUUGCCUUUGAGGCUAACAUUCUGUUACUCUCAUUUUUGCUUUCUACUUUUCUCCUUCAGAGUAAAGAAAAUUCGUUUAAAUGAAA
Long non-coding RNA from Mus musculus (house mouse), 1928 nucleotides. RefSeq annotates it as doublesex and mab-3 related transcription factor like family A2, opposite strand. The transcript has 3 exons. NCBI's taxonomy places the organism in Eukaryota, Metazoa, Chordata, Mammalia, Rodentia, Muridae. The record is from RefSeq and is a predicted model, not a curated record.